AACAUUGCAGUGGCAGUAUCAUAGCCAAUAAGGUCAAACCGAGGCAUGAUUAUUGCUAAUUGU
This is a non-coding RNA of Xenopus tropicalis (tropical clawed frog), 63 nucleotides long. The record is from Rfam. Lineage: Eukaryota; Metazoa; Chordata; Amphibia; Anura; Pipidae.